UACGUAGGUGGCAAGCGUUGUCCGGAUUUACUGGGCGUAAAGGGAGCGUAGGUGGAUAUUUAAGUGGGAUGUGAAAUACUCGGGCUUAACCUGGGUGCUGCAUUCCAAACUGGAUAUCUAGAGUGCAGGAGAGGAAAGUAGAAUUCCUAGUGUAGCGGCGAAAUGCGUAGAGAUUAGGAAGAAUACCAGUGGCGAAGGCGACUUUCUGGACUGUAACUGACACUGAGGCUCGAAAGCGUGGGGAGCAAACAGG
This 253-nucleotide ribosomal RNA is filed under the name uncultured bacterium. Its description in RNAcentral is "partial 16S ribosomal RNA". It matches the Rfam family "Bacterial small subunit ribosomal RNA", at positions 524 to 776 of the family's 1533-position model. The record is from RNAcentral.